UAUCCGUGGAUGAAAAACACUUGCUUAGAACCUCGUCUGUAGCUCGUGAACAGCACACCAGGUAAGUUCCCAGGAAAGAGAGGUGGGUCCGGCAUGACCACUAAAUUACUAAAUCUUUCCUAGCCAGAGCUUACCUAGACAUGUACCUCCACACUUUCCUAGCCAGAAUUCACCACAAGCCUCGAUACUCCAAUUGCACCAACUUCCCCUCCUACAAGCUUCUUGAACCAGAGAAUCUUUUCUGAUAUAGAAGAUCAGCCAAAGCUGCGAGCAUAGAGUAUACUAAGAUUCCCCCCUCAAGCUAGGCGACCUCGCACUGAUACCACUUGUUGGAAAAAAAGAAAUGACCCUUUCCCGUAAACCCCGAGAUCUCCGCGCCUUUUGUAAAGAGAAAAAAACAAAAAUAAAACAACACAAGAAUUUAACGUGGAAACCCAAAAUCGGAAAAAACCACAACCGUUGUCAAAAGACAACAACCGACCACUAUGUAAAAAAUUCUUACAAUCACAUAAACCUCAGUACAUUCUCCUAACAAAUAGUGUUAGAAAUGCUUCGGUUUGGUACAUUUGAAAACAUAACUUAAACCCCUUUAUAUAAGCAAGUCUCCAAGCUACUUUUCAACAGUUUUUCAAUAUGGGAUAAUGAGCCUUCUUAUUUUUAAGCAAAAUCCCAACAAUAAAGUGAACUACGAUCGAAAAAAUCCAAGAAAUUAGCAGAAGCCCUAUGCCUCUCAAAUGUAUAAAAGUAGGGAGUAGCUGCAAACAUUCAAUUACUUCUCUGAGUAUAUCAGGUUUGACAGUACAAUAGAAGUAAAUACAACUCAUUAAUGAUUCCACCAAAAAUAGUACAAUCUUCAACCAUUAUUUUUCCAAUGUGGGACAAUGACCAUUCUCAUUUUCAUCCCAACACUUCAUACACUUCAACAAAUGAGUCUAAAACUCAAACGGUGGUCAAUGAGCUUUCCACUUAAUACAUAACUUCAUUCUAACGCUCACAUAAACAUGAUGUUUCUUUUCCAAUUAUAUAUCCAAAACUCACUUAAUUACUUUCAAACCAUAUUCAAAAGACCAGUAAUGAACCAUUGUGCAGACAAAUUGAAACUGCUUAGACUAAUAUAGCAAGACCUGAUCCACGUAUUAAUAAAGUAUAUUUAACAUAACUAUUAAAGAACAAAAAAGUUGAAGCCCUUUUUUUUUAUUCCUUUCCUUUUAUAUGUUUAUUAAUGUAUGUCAUUUAUAAAUAAGAUACAUAAACAACUAAAUAUAAAGAAACAAACAAACAGAUUCAAUAGGAUGCAAAGUUGAACAAUAAGGAUAGAAAUCACAUCUUUAUUGUUUUUUGUAAAAGAAAAUUUCUUUAGAAGUUUGAGAUAAUUACCUAGUUGCAGAAUUUCAGCAGCUAAAUGACCCUUGAGUACUUAGAAACAACGAACAUAGCAUAAUCAAGAUCCCAACGACAACACCACCAAACGGACAGUAGAAAACAACAGUAAAAGAACUCAAGAAUACCCCCGAAAAAUCCAGCAAGAAAGUACUUGAACUAGCAACUAGUAACCCCAUAAAUUACUUAAGAGAUCGUUUUGUCUUUUCAAGGAUUUUGCAUACACAAAAUACUCACAAAAGCUCUGAAAUUUCAGCUUGCCAUAUGUGCACAACUGAUGAUUUCUUUUAAGAUAUAUGCCCCUUUUUUUGAGCGUAAAAGAUGAUGGCUCCUUGUGUUAGAGUGUGUCUGUCCUCCAAAGAGAAAGAAAGACCCUCUUUUUAUAGGAAAGGAAAGACCUUGCAUUAUUACCAAUCUAUCCAAAAGACAGAUUUUUCACCAAAAAUAUGUCCAAACAAUUCAAAGGACAGAUUUUUUGGUCAAAAAUCUGUCCAAAAGACAAACUUUUACCAACAAUGAAUAACUUUUGGAGUAGUGUACUCAAAAUAGUCCACAAACAGUUAAAAAGUAGACCAAACAUGUACCCUAUUUUAUCAUUUAUCUUUUACCUUUUACAAACUAAUACCAAACUAACUAACCAAUUCAAACUAAUGUAAAAGUAGAAAAUUCAGUAUUCAACUUAGUCAAUUAAACUAAUGCUGAUAUGAUCAAUCCAAGGAGAAAAUAAAAAUCUACGUCUAGGCUAAACACGUAUUAUAGUGAAGUAACUAACCACAACAAAGCUAACUAAGCGUCGAAAUAAAAAACAAUGCUAUACGAAGUAGAUGAUAGCAAACAGACUUAAACUUAAACUAAAAUUCUAAAAUUAAUCACAAAGAAAGCAAAAAUCAGAAAAAGGAAAAGAGGAAUUAGGAUGCUACCAUAGCAAAGGAUUUGAUGCAAAUUCGAGUAGCGAUUACAUGCCAAGGAUAUCGGACAACGAAAAAUCGACCAUGAUGCGAACUUUUUAUGUUGCCAGACACCAAAACCAAAGGUUUGGUGAACUAGUUUCGAUCUCCGUAUCGUGCCAGCGUAAAAAGCUCACUCAAGUUGUAUCUAGGCAAGAUGGGAAGAAGGGAAGAAGAAAGUAAAA
This 2512-nucleotide long non-coding RNA is filed under the name Nicotiana benthamiana. RNAcentral describes it as "long non-coding RNA (NBEN_LNC029790)". Lineage: Eukaryota; Viridiplantae; Streptophyta; Magnoliopsida; Solanales; Solanaceae. The record is from RNAcentral.